Molecule: regulatory RNA element, 161 nt
Organism: Pseudobutyrivibrio ruminis
Lineage: Bacteria; Bacillati; Bacillota; Clostridia; Lachnospirales; Lachnospiraceae
Source: Rfam
UUUGGAAUGAGCUUAGUAGAACAAAAAGAGAUAUUUGAUAUGGAUGAGCAGCUGCCGCUAGGACGGCGGCAGCAGUGGUCACUUGAAACACGACGUUGAAUGUGCCACGGUGCUCAUACAUACAAAUAUCUCUUUUUUAGUUCUACUUAGCGAAUGUAAUA